UGUAGGGUUGUUUUUCAGGAGCUGGGCUUGGCCCCUUAGUUCCAGUGAAAGGAACUCUGAAUGCUUCAGCAUACCAAGACAUUUUGGACAAUUCCAUGCUCCCAACUUUGUGGGAACAGUUCGGAGCUGGCCCCUUCCUCUUCCAACAUGACUGUGCACCAGUGACCAAAGCAAGGUCCAUAAAGACAUGGAUGACAGAGUCUGGUGUGGAUGAACUUGACUGGCCUGAAUUAGAGCGGAGACUGAGAGCCAGGCCUUCUCGUCCAACAUCAGUGUGUGACCUCACAAAUGUGCUUCUGGAAGAACGGUCAAAAAUUCCCAUAAACACACUCCUAAACCUUGUGGACAGCCUUCCCAGAAGAGUUGAAGCUGUUAUAGCUGCAAAGGGUGGACCGACGUCAUAUUGAACCCUAUGGAUUAGGAAUGGGAUGUCACUUCAAGUUCAUAUGCGAGUCAAGGCAGGUGAGCGAAUACUUUUGGCAAUAUAGUGUAUGAAGCACUACAGCGGGACAGCCUGACUUGGUAACUCAUACAGAAUAACUCCUGUGUGCUGGACACUCCUGUGUCCUUGGAAUCAGUUUUAAACAAAUGACCAGCGAGGAUCUAAACAGAUUGACUUUAACAGAAACUUGCUGCUCUACAGAUUCAGAGGGAAAAAAAAGUUCAGAUUCAGUCAAUAUUUCAGUGUUUAGUAACUAAUAAUUUGGCGUGUGAUGGGCAAUUACAGUAUUUGUGCAGUAAUCUUAUUCUACUUCACAUAAAAAAGCUAUGAAAUGGAAAAGUUGCUUGGUGACCGGUCAGAUAUCAGCAAUAAAAGUUGAGCUAUGGGGUUAUUGUGUUGUUGUAUAGCCAUAUACGACAUAAUUAAUAUAAUAACAGAUUUAUUCACAUACAUAAUAAAAUCCAUCAUUGCUACGAGCCAACAUUGGAUUCAUAUUAAAGAAAAUGGCCAUUAUGAUUAUCACAGGGUACUAUCACAUUAUGAUUAUUACUGCCCACCACUGCAAAGAGACAGUACGCGUGGUCACCCCAGACACUACAGAGUGACCGGAGCUAGUCUAGGUGUAGCGUGAGAGAUAGCGUGAGAUGGUCACAUGACCAAGGAAGGGUCAUAGGGUCAUGUGACCGAUUCCACCUGCGUGUGUAAAAAAAAGUUUCUGAACCCCAGUCACAAGGCCUUGAUGACAUCAUGAUGACAUCAUGAUGACAUCAUGUGUGUUGCCAUGGCUUAAACAACGGGCUAGAGCUUGCGCUAGACGACCUGCAGGGGCAGCUGAAAGGGUCACUGGAGAGAGAAGAGAAGCUCAUGAGAUCUCUAGAGAAAGCCACAGCCAAUCACAAGGCUGAAGUACAUCAACUCCAGUACUGUCAAAUGAAGCCAAAUCAGACACCACAGAGAUGGAGAUGAAGCUUCAAACUGACAUCAUAGAUCUGCAAGUAGAGCUUAUGGAUGCACAAGCCUUCAUAAGGAGAGAGCUGAAGACAUCACCGAAGACAGAAAAGGAGUUCGAGGAAACAAUAAAGAAGCUCACAGUCACAGAAACACCACUGGAAUGUGACAUAUGGGUUGAGGAGACUGAGAGAGAGGAUCCAUGGGAGGUUAUGAGCGAUGAAAACCUUUGAUGGAGGAUGUAUUGACCGAGUCUCCACAGGAGGAGCUCCAAGAGAAACCGUGCACCUCUGAGAACAUGGUCAAGUCCCUCCAGCUGGAGCUUAGCUCCUCUCAGCAGCAGCUGAGCGCCACAGAGGAAGAGAACCGUGUACUCCGGGAAAUGCUGAUGGCAUGUGAGGCACGAGUUCAGGAGGCAGAGAAAGAAACACAAAAGCAGGCUGAGAGUAAGGAAAGACUGUGAGAAGCAGAUGAGGAGUUUGAAACUCUCCUUUGAAGGCUUGAACAACCGGCUAGACCUCGCGCUAGACGACCUGCAGGGGCAGCUGAAACGCUCACUGGAGAGAGAAGAGAACCUGAUGAUAUCUCUAGAAAAAACCACAGCCAGUCACCAAGCUGAUGUACAGCAAAUGCAGCUCAGUGUAGAUGAAGCCAAAUCAGAGAACACAGAGAUGGAGAUAAAGCUUCAAACUGACAUCAUAGAUCUGCAAGUAGAACUUAUGGAUGCAUAAGCCUUUUUAAGGAGAGAGCUGAAGACAUCACAGAAAUGGAGUUUGACAAAAGAAAAAGAAGCUCACACUCACUGAAACACCGCUGGCAUGUGACAUGCCUAAAGCAACUGAGAGAAAGCGAUGAAAAGAGCAUUGGAAGGAGUUGACUGAACUGAUGAACAUCAGGCUACAGAGGACU
Hemibagrus wyckioides is the source of this 2299-nucleotide long non-coding RNA. RefSeq lists it as uncharacterized. Lineage: Eukaryota; Metazoa; Chordata; Actinopteri; Siluriformes; Bagridae. The record is from RefSeq and is a predicted model, not a curated record. The transcript has 4 exons.